GGAGGGUGCAAGCGUUAUCUGGAAUUAUUGGGUUUAAAGGGUGCGUAGGCGGGAUGAUAAGUCAGUGGUGAAAUCUUACAGCUUAACUGUAAAACUGCCAUUGAUACUAUCGUUCUUGAAUACAAUUGAAGUGGGCGGAAUGUGUCAUGUAGCGGUGAAAUGCCUAGAUAUGACACAGAACACCGAUUGCGAAGGCAGCUCACCAAGUUGUUAUUGACGCUGAGGCACGAAAGCGUGGGGAGCGAACAGGAUUAGAUACCCUGGUAGUCCCACGCCCGUAAACGAUGAUUACUCGGUAUUGGCGAUACACUGUCAGUGCCCAAGCGAAAGUUUUAAGUAAUCCCACCUGGGAAGUACGUCGGCAACGAUG
Molecule: ribosomal RNA, 370 nt
Filed under: uncultured organism
Description: partial 16S ribosomal RNA
Rfam family: Bacterial small subunit ribosomal RNA
Source: RNAcentral